ACAAGGAAGACUCACUUGAAGAGAAGAUCAAGGACAAAAAUAAUAUUCUGGUGAGCCAUUUCUGCUCUCAUACACUUCGUAUAUAAUGGCACCUCAAGCCACGGAGAGAGAGAGAGAGAGAGAGAGAGAGAGAGAGAGAGAGAGAGAGAGAGAACGAACAACAACAACAUAAAAGAUAACAAGAAAUAACAAACAACCUAACUCAACCAUCUCUCACUUUCACUCUCCCUCUCCCUCCCAUCCCCUCCCUCUCCCUCUCCCUCUCUCCCAUUCCUUAACUACCUAACCACACUGGCCAUCAUAGCUCACAUCCUGCGCUUCUUACCCCAGUGCCCUCUCUCACUCUCACUUUCUCACUCUCUCUCAGUCCCGUCUUAAACUUUACUCGUGUCGCAUCUCCACCAGUCAGUCAGUCAGUCAGUUAGCCAGUCAACCAGCCAGUAAACCAGUUAGCCAGUCAAUCAGUAAUCCGAUACGCAUGCACACACGCACGCACGCACGCACGCACGCACGCAAAGUGUUAGUUAUUACGUGUGGAAAGAGUAUUGCGUGUUCUACUACUACUUCUACUACUACUAUUACUACUACUGCCGUGAAGAACAAAUAUUGUGUCUGGCUCUCCUCGGCUUGGUGCGGGUGUCGUCACGCUGCCUCACUGCUACACGCAAACCCUCAGUGAGCCAAGGCGCUGCAGGUCUGCUUGCUGCCUUAGUUACUAAAGGAGCACACGCAUCCAGACAACUCAUCAUCAACCCGACCUGAGCCGACUGUGGGAGUGACAAAUGGUUCCCUGGACGCCGUGUGUCACCGGAUUGCAGGCGAGCGUCAGGCGGACCAUGAGUCGGGACGCUGCCAAGUCCGUUGACCAGAACCUGACCAGGAAAAUUUAAGAAGCGUGGCCUUGACCUUGCUCAGCAGUUGUGCCUUCACCUGACCUACGUUAUGUUGCUCUGCGUUCAUUGUUUCUGGCAAAGUGAGUUAGUGCAGUCGUGCCUUCAGUGUGUCACCCAUACUUUGCAAGCAGUCGAUUUCCUGCUCUGCUUUACCAGGUGGUAUUUGUUUUGAAAGAGAGUUGAGAAGUGGAUUAUGUCAUGCUCUUAACUUAAAUUUUAUGCUUCUUUAUUCAUAACUGCAUCAACAGACCACCUGGGAAAAGUAAUGCUUUGUGCCUCUGUUUGUUUUCAUUUCACGACACGGUAGGGAGCGAGAGCACGUCCACAGAGCAAAGAAUUCAAGACAUACCUCUUUGAAUUCUGGGAAAAUAGGAUGCGUAUUUCUGGUCGUCCUUCAGAGAAGCUAAUGUUAUACAUGCGUAUGCCAUUUAAAUUCAGCGAAGAAAUUUGAGAAAUACUUCUGGAAAAUGUUUUAACGAGCUCCUAUCGUUAAAUCUUCAUAAGAAACGUUUGCAUCAUAAAAUAACGAAAUUUUAAGCCUCACAUCCAGCAUCAGAGACCAUAAGAGCCACAGCAAGGUGUAUUCGAGGAGCAGUGUUAAGAUGUGCAUAAACAAAGUAAAAUAUACGUAGUGCUGACAGGCAUCACAGAAAAGAAAACUUGUAAUAACAUUUCAAAGGAAAAACUUUUAACCAGUACAGUGUUGCGCUUUGUCAGAGAUAGUGGUCUUGUCAGGCUGCAUUUCUUUUUCCUAAGCUUCUUAUUUACCCCGUAAAAUGACAGAAAAAGGAAAAUAA
This is a long non-coding RNA of Scylla paramamosain (green mud crab), 1690 nucleotides long. RefSeq lists it as uncharacterized. Lineage: Eukaryota; Metazoa; Arthropoda; Malacostraca; Decapoda; Portunidae. The transcript is spliced from 4 exons. The record is from RefSeq and is a predicted model, not a curated record.